Molecule: long non-coding RNA, 1033 nt
Organism: Dreissena polymorpha
Lineage: Eukaryota; Metazoa; Mollusca; Bivalvia; Myida; Dreissenidae
Exons: 3
Source: RefSeq, a predicted model, not a curated record
GGUUACCUCCACUGUAUGCACUGCAACCGGCACUGAGUGUAACUCAAUCACCAAUGCCUUGUGUGACACCACGGCUCUGAAGUGUAAAUGUGGAGUAGUAACAGCUAUGGUUGAAAAUAAAUGCACCGGCAAAGCUUGCACGGCCUCUACGACAUGCACCGCUUUGGACGCCAACUCCCAAUGCUCUGGAACAACUACCGGCUCCGUAUGCCAGUGCAGUGCAGGUUAUGUGAUGGGAAGCGAUGGCAAAUGUGCUUCCGGUGCUGCUACUGUGCUGGUCUCUGUUACGAUGUUGUUUGCCUGCUUCAUAACAAGACUUCUAUAAACGUGUUUCCAAACAUCAAUAAUGAAGCUUUUUAAUUGAGUACACACCAUACAUAAAAUAUAAGUUUUUUUUUGUAUUUUUUAACAAUCAAUACCGGUGUCAAUUAGUGACUUUUAUCGACUGUAUUAUUCACUAUUAUCAAUUAAGAUAAUACAUUUUCGCUAAUAAUCAGAUAAUGAUCCCACACACGUUUUUUGUUUGUUUUGAUGUGUGAUUUGUGUUUUUAACAUAUUUGUAAUCCAAGUUCACUCGUUACUGGAUUUGUCGAUUGCAUUAUGUUGUACUGUUUCAUUUAUCCUUCUUGGACUCAUGUUAAAUAAAAACAUAAAAUAGAAAAUAUUUUUUUAAGCGUGAAACUUCCAAAUAAUAUGUAACGCAUAUCUCUGUGCAUAUCUCAAAAUCAUGUUCAUGUGUGAUUUUAAAAAGCCAUAUUUCGCAAAUGAUAUGUUUAACAGACACCAAUGCAAGAAGAAAAUAUGUCCGCUAUAUAAUGUCUUCUUAAAUAAAGACUAUAACAUUAAUGUGUAAAUAUUGCUAGUUUGAUCACAUGAACUAAGUAUGGAUAAAUAAUACUAGUUGUUAUACUUAAAAACACGAUGAAGAUUAAUGCCCAGAAGACCAUGAUAUGCACUAAACCAUUAAUUAGAAGGGUUUGUGAAUCUAUGCGUUGAUUUUCUAGAUGUGUUUUUGAAAUAAAUGUUAUAUGCA